Molecule: transfer RNA, 71 nt
Filed under: Stegodyphus mimosarum
Lineage: Eukaryota; Metazoa; Arthropoda; Arachnida; Araneae; Eresidae
Rfam family: tRNA
About the family: Transfer RNA (tRNA) molecules are approximately 80 nucleotides in length. Their secondary structure includes four short double-helical elements and three loops (D, anti-codon, and T loops).
Source: Rfam by way of RNAcentral
GCCUUCGUGGUGUAACGGUAGCACACUUGAUGCGUAUUUGAGAGGUCCAGGUUCGAGUCUCGGCGAGGGCA